CUCCUCUUGAGUAAUAUAGGAGGUAUGAUCUGCUCCAUGCAGAAGUAAAUUACCGCAGUAUCUUGACUGUGGUAAGGUAGCAAAAUAAUUUGGCUUUUAAUUGGAGUUUGGAAUGAAUGAUUUGACAAAAUUUAGUCUGUCUCACUUCCUGUUUAUGAAAUUGGAAUUUCUGUAAAAAUACAGAGAUAAGCGAGAGGGACGAAAAGUCCCUAUAGAUCUUCACUCUUCAUUUUAAAUAAAUGCUAAAAAUUUUUAGGCUGAGUUUUCUUGGGGCAAGACUAAAAAUUGAAUUUUGGUUAUAGAAAAAGAUUGAUUGAUCGAAAAGAUGAAAUAUAAUAAGACAAGUUACCUUAGGGAUAACAGGACAAAUUCUUUACUUAGAACUUAUAAGAAAAGAAGUUUGCCACCUCGAUGUUGAAUUAAGUUUUCUUUUAUUCGAAGAAGGAUAAGGAGUUAGUCUGUUCGACUAUUAAAAACUU
RNAcentral lists this ribosomal RNA (479 nucleotides) under Priceiella sp. IZGAS 3_J0658. RNAcentral's name for it is "partial large subunit ribosomal RNA". It matches the Rfam family "Bacterial large subunit ribosomal RNA", at positions 1829 to 2597 of the family's 2925-position model. The record is from RNAcentral. Lineage: Eukaryota; Metazoa; Arthropoda; Insecta; Psocodea; Philopteridae.